This 1390-nucleotide ribosomal RNA is filed under the name Streptomyces coelicoflavus. RNAcentral's name for it is "bacterial SSU rRNA". It matches the Rfam family "Bacterial small subunit ribosomal RNA". Lineage: Bacteria; Bacillati; Actinomycetota; Actinomycetes; Kitasatosporales; Streptomycetaceae. The record is from RNAcentral.
CAAGUCGAACGAUGAACCACCUUCGGGUGGGGAUUAGUGGCGAACGGGUGAGUAACACGUGGGCAAUCUGCCCUUCACUCUGGGACAAGCCCUGGAAACGGGGUCUAAUACCGGAUACUGACCUGCCAAGGCAUCUUGGCGGGUCGAAAGCUCCGGCGGUGAAGGAUGAGCCCGCGGCCUAUCAGCUUGUUGGUGAGGUAAUGGCUCACCAAGGCGACGACGGGUAGCCGGCCUGAGAGGGCGACCGGCCACACUGGGACUGAGACACGGCCCAAACUCCUACGGGAGGCAGCAGUGGGGAAUAUUGCACAAUGGGCGAAAGCCUGAUGCAGCGACGCCGCGUGAGGGAUGACGGCCUUCGGGUUGUAAACCUCUUUCAGCAGGGAAAAAGCGAAAGUGACGGUACCUGCAGAAAAAGCGCCGGCUAACUACGUGCCAGCAGCCGCGGUAAUACGUAGGGCGCAAGCGUUGUCCGGAAUUAUUGGGCGUAAAGAGCUCGUAGGCGGCUUGUCACGUCGGUUGUGAAAGCCCGGGGCUUAACCCCGGGUCUGCAGUCGAUACGGGCAGGCUAGAGUUCGGUAGGGGAGAUCGGAAUUCCUGGUGUAGCGGUGAAAUGCGCAGAUAUCAGGAGGAACACCGGUGGCGAAGGCGGAUCUCUGGGCCGAUACUGACGCUGAGGAGCGAAAGCGUGGGGAGCGAACAGGAUUAGAUACCCUGGUAGUCCACGCCGUAAACGGUGGGCACUAGGUGUGGGCAACAUUCCACGUUGUCCGUGCCGCAGCUAACGCAUUAAGUGCCCCGCCUGGGGAGUACGGCCGCAAGGCUAAAACUCAAAGGAAUUGACGGGGGCCCGCACAAGCGGCGGAGCAUGUGGCUUAAUUCGACGCAACGCGAAGAACCUUACCAAGGCUUGACAUACACCGGAAAGCAUCAGAGAUGGUGCCCCCCUUGUGGUCGGUGUACAGGUGGUGCAUGGCUGUCGUCAGCUCGUGUCGUGAGAUGUUGGGUUAAGUCCCGCAACGAGCGCAACCCUUGUCCCGUGUUGCCAGCAAGCCCUUCGGGGUGUUGGGGACUCACGGGAGACCGCCGGGGUCAACUCGGAGGAAGGUGGGGACGACGUCAAGUCAUCAUGCCCCUUAUGUCUUGGGCUGCACACGUGCUACAAUGGCCGGUACAAUGAGCUGCGAUACCGCAAGGUGGAGCGAAUCUCAAAAAGCCGGUCUCAGUUCGGAUUGGGGUCUGCAACUCGACCCCAUGAAGUCGGAGUCGCUAGUAAUCGCAGAUCAGCAUUGCUGCGGUGAAUACGUUCCCGGGCCUUGUACACACCGCCCGUCACGUCACGAAAGUCGGUAACACCCGAAGCCGGUGGCCCAACCCCUUGUGGGAGGGA